Molecule: long non-coding RNA, 1179 nt
Filed under: Heterocephalus glaber (naked mole-rat)
Lineage: Eukaryota; Metazoa; Chordata; Mammalia; Rodentia; Bathyergidae
Description: lncRNA (ENSHGLG00000036325.1)
Source: RNAcentral
UUGAGGCGUGGCUACCGCCUAGAACCCACCCCUUCCCCUUUGAUCUUGGACGGGUCUUGUUUAUUGGCCGCUGAUUGGCCAACAUGUGAGAUUAGCCCGCCUCUGACUUUCCAGGGGCGGGAGAAUUUCAGGCUGAUCUUUGAUAGGUUCCACACUUCUGCUACUUUGGCCGCUGCCAUUGGCCCUCACCACUUCGCUCUCCUAUUGGCUACGGAAGAAGCACCGGGGGGAAUGUUAGCUAACAACUUUGGGACCCAGACUGGUGCCUGGGAGGCUGCGGGCGCCUCCGGUGGUGUGGGGAUGACCGCAGCGACCUCCUGGACCCCGGUCGACUCUGGAGUUUUGGACGGACCCUGAAAGACCCAGUGGACCUCGGCCCCAGCCCCUUCACGGGCCUUACACCCGAAAAGUCGCUCCGCUUCAAGACUGCUCCUGCUCCAGGGCCGCGACGUUGUGCAGAGGCUGAAGCUGAAACCUCCGCUGAGGACCCCAGGCGCCGUUUCCACCCAGUCAGCACGGCAUCUUCAUUCUCCUCUGGAUCGUAUUUGCACAAGCUUUCCCCGUUUUCACUUCUGUUUUUAUUACUCAUUUUAAUGAGAUGAUGCAACUGUUAACUUUCCCAUCUGUUUGUAGCCCUUAGGUGGGGAAGAGGUUUUCCAUUUUCUUUCUAAAGCUUAGUCCUUCUCUGGACCUCUGAUCCCCCUCCCCCAUCCAGUCUAUUCUCUUCCUUUUCAGUAGUGGUUAUUAACUUUUCCGUAGCGACCUUUUGUAAAAUAAUAAAGCUACAAAUUCUCUUUCUCCCACUCCCUAUUUCCCAUGCACACACAAAAUUUUGCAUAUAACGCCUGAGUUGCAAAGUCCCUAAAAUGACUUGUGCACUCCUUAAGUACAUUCACAUGUACCUUCGAAGCCUACAGCAGUGUCUGCUCCUUUCCCUUGAGAAAUGAAUAGGGGCCACAUAAACCCCUCAAUCCUGCUUGAGUACUGAUUCCCUUUACUGCCAAAUUGCUCCAGUAAGACCUUACACCUCCUAUGCUCUUUAAGCUCUAUACUGUAUUUUUACUGCUUUAUUCAGUGGUCAUAAAUUUUCUUUCCAAAUCCAAUGGCCAUUUUCUUUUUUUUAAAAUGAUGCACAUUGCUUUAUUAAAGUGAAAUUUAAAUAAACAUGUAUACAUUCGA